RNAcentral lists this ribosomal RNA (633 nucleotides) under uncultured eukaryote. RNAcentral's name for it is "SSU rRNA". It matches the Rfam family "Eukaryotic small subunit ribosomal RNA", at positions 341 to 999 of the family's 1831-position model. The record is from RNAcentral.
CUACCAUGGCAGUCACGGGUAACGGAGAAUUAGGGUUCGAUUCCGGAGAGGGAGCCUGAGAAACGGCUACCACAUCUACGGAAGGCAGCAGGCGCGCAAAUUGCCCAAUCCCGACACGGGGAGGCAGUGACAAGAAAUAACAACUCUAGGUUUUCUUAGAAGUGUAAUGAGGAUAAUUUACAAACCUUACCAAAUGCAAUUGGAGGGCAAGUCUGGUGCCAGCAGCCGCGGUAAUUCCAGCUCCAAUGGCGUAUAUUAAAGUUGUUGCAGUUAAAAAGCUCGUAGUUGAAAAUCUGAUUGCUCAGGUCUCCAGCCUUUAGGCGGGGAUUCUGACAGUCAUCCGCUUGCAAACAUAUGUUCGAUCUUCACCGGUUGGCUAUGUGAGUAAGCACUUUACCUUGAGAAAAACAGAGUGUUCCAGGCAGGUUUGUCCGGAAUGCAUUAGCAUGGAAUAAUAGAACAUGACUGAAGUCUAUUUAUUGGUUAAAGGCUUUAGUAAUGAUUAAUAGGAACAGUCGGGGGCAUUCGUACUCAGCAGUCAGAGGUGAAAUUCUAAGAUUUGCUGAAGACGAACUAAUGCGAAAGCAUUUGCCAAGGAUGUUUUCAUUAAUCAAGAACGAAAGUUAGGGGAUC